GACAGAGGGUGCAAACGUUGUUCGGAAUUACUGGGCGUAAAGCGCGUGUAGGCGGUCUCGCAAGUCGGAUGUGAAAGCCCAGGGCUCAACCCUGGAAGUGCACUCGAUACUGCGAGGCUAGAGUCCCGGAGAGGAUGGUGGAACUCUCGGUGUAGAGGUGAAAUUCGUAGAUAUCGAGAAGAACACCGGUGGCGAAGGCGGCCAUCUGGACGGUGACUGACGCUGAGACGCGAAAGCCAGGGGAGCAAACGGG
RNAcentral lists this ribosomal RNA (253 nucleotides) under uncultured bacterium. RNAcentral describes it as "partial 16S ribosomal RNA". It matches the Rfam family "Bacterial small subunit ribosomal RNA", at positions 524 to 776 of the family's 1533-position model. The record is from RNAcentral.